GGUUAAGCGACUAAGCGUACACGGUGGAUGCCCUGGCAGUCAGAGGCGAUGAAGGACGUGCUAAUCUGCGAUAAGCGUCGGUAAGGUGAUAUGAACCGUUAUAACCGGCGAUUUCCGAAUGGGGAAACCCAGUGUGAUUCGUCACACUAUCAUUAACUGAAUCCAUAGGUUAAUGAGGCGAACCGGGGGAACUGAAACAUCUAAGUACCCCGAGGAAAAGAAAUCAACCGAGAUUCCCCCAGUAGCGGCGAGCGAACGGGGAGCAGCCCAGAGCCUGAAUCAGUGUGUGUGUUAGUGGAAGCGUCUGGAAAGGCGCGCGAUACAGGGUGACAGCCCCGUACACAAAAAUGCACAUGCUGUGAGCUCGAUGAGUAGGGCGGGACACGUGGUAUCCUGUCUGAAUAUGGGGGGACCAUCCUCCAAGGCUAAAUACUCCUGACUGACCGAUAGUGAACCAGUACCGUGAGGGAAAGGCGAAAAGAACCCCGGCGAGGGGAGUGAAAAAGAACCUGAAACCGUGUACGUACAAGCAGUGGGAGCACGCUUAGGCGUGUGACUGCGUACCUUUUGUAUAAUGGGUCAGCGACUUAUAUUCUGUAGCAAGGUUAACCGAAUAGGGGAGCCGAAGGGAAACCGAGUCUUAACUGGGCGUUAAGUUGCAGGGUAUAGACCCGAAACCCGGUGAUCUAGCCAUGGGCAGGUUGAAGGUUGGGUAACACUAACUGGAGGACCGAACCGACUAAUGUUGAAAAAUUAGCGGAUGACUUGUGGCUGGGGGUGAAAGGCCAAUCAAACCGGGAGAUAGCUGGUUCUCCCCGAAAGCUAUUUAGGUAGCGCCUCGUGAAUUCAUCUCCGGGGGUAGAGCACUGUUUCGGCAAGGGGGUCAUCCCGACUUACCAACCCGAUGCAAACUGCGAAUACCGGAGAAUGUUAUCACGGGAGACACACGGCGGGUGCUAACGUCCGUCGUGAAGAGGGAAACAACCCAGACCGCCAGCUAAGGUCCCAAAGUCAUGGUUAAGUGGGAAACGAUGUGGGAAGGCCCAGACAGCCAGGAUGUUGGCUUAGAAGCAGCCAUCAUUUAAAGAAAGCGUAAUAGCUCACUGGUCGAGUCGGCCUGCGCGGAAGAUGUAACGGGGCUAAACCAUGCACCGAAGCUGCGGCAGCGACACUGUGUGUUGUUGGGUAGGGGAGCGUUCUGUAAGCCUGUGAAGGUGUGCUGUGAGGCAUGCUGGAGGUAUCAGAAGUGCGAAUGCUGACAUAAGUAACGAUAAAGCGGGUGAAAAGCCCGCUCGCCGGAAGACCAAGGGUUCCUGUCCAACGUUAAUCGGGGCAGGGUGAGUCGACCCCUAAGGCGAGGCCGAAAGGCGUAGUCGAUGGGAAACAGGUUAAUAUUCCUGUACUUGGUGUUACUGCGAAGGGGGGACGGAGAAGGCUAUGUUGGCCGGGCGACGGUUGUCCCGGUUUAAGCGUGUAGGCUGGUUUUCCAGGCAAAUCCGGAAAAUCAAGGCUGAGGCGUGAUGACGAGGCACUACGGUGCUGAAGCAACAAAUGCCCUGCUUCCAGGAAAAGCCUCUAAGCAUCAGGUAACAUCAAAUCGUACCCCAAACCGACACAGGUGGUCAGGUAGAGAAUACCAAGGCGCUUGAGAGAACUCGGGUGAAGGAACUAGGCAAAAUGGUGCCGUAACUUCGGGAGAAGGCACGCUGAUAUGUAGGUGAAGUCCCUCGCGGAUGGAGCUGAAAUCAGUCGAAGAUACCAGCUGGCUGCAACUGUUUAUUAAAAACACAGCACUGUGCAAACACGAAAGUGGACGUAUACGGUGUGACGCCUGCCCGGUGCCGGAAGGUUAAUUGAUGGGGUUAGCGCAAGCGAAGCUCUUGAUCGAAGCCCCGGUAAACGGCGGCCGUAACUAUAACGGUCCUAAGGUAGCGAAAUUCCUUGUCGGGUAAGUUCCGACCUGCACGAAUGGCGUAAUGAUGGCCAGGCUGUCUCCACCCGAGACUCAGUGAAAUUGAACUCGCUGUGAAGAUGCAGUGUACCCGCGGCAAGACGGAAAGACCCCGUGAACCUUUACUAUAGCUUGACACUGAACAUUGAGCCUUGAUGUGUAGGAUAGGUGGGAGGCUUUGAAGUGUGGACGCCAGUCUGCAUGGAGCCGACCUUGAAAUACCACCCUUUAAUGUUUGAUGUUCUAACGUUGACCCGUAAUCCGGGUUGCGGACAGUGUCUGGUGGGUAGUUUGACUGGGGCGGUCUCCUCCUAAAGAGUAACGGAGGAGCACGAAGGUUGGCUAAUCCUGGUCGGACAUCAGGAGGUUAGUGCAAUGGCAUAAGCCAGCUUGACUGCGAGCGUGACGGCGCGAGCAGGUGCGAAAGCAGGUCAUAGUGAUCCGGUGGUUCUGAAUGGAAGGGCCAUCGCUCAACGGAUAAAAGGUACUCCGGGGAUAACAGGCUGAUACCGCCCAAGAGUUCAUAUCGACGGCGGUGUUUGGCACCUCGAUGUCGGCUCAUCACAUCCUGGGGCUGAAGUAGGUCCCAAGGGUAUGGCUGUUCGCCAUUUAAAGUGGUACGCGAGCUGGGUUUAGAACGUCGUGAGACAGUUCGGUCCCUAUCUGCCGUGGGCGCUGGAGAACUGAGGGGGGCUGCUCCUAGUACGAGAGGACCGGAGUGGACGCAUCACUGGUGUUCGGGUUGUCAUGCCAAUGGCACUGCCCGGUAGCUAAAUGCGGAAGAGAUAAGUGCUGAAAGCAUCUAAGCACGAAACUUGCCCCGAGAUGAGUUCUCCCUGACCCUUUAAGGGUCCUGAAGGAACGUUGAAGACGACGACGUUGAUAGGCCGGGUGUGUAAGCGCAGCGAUGCGUUGAGCUAACCGGUACUAAUGAACCGUGAGGCUUAACCUU
This 2903-nucleotide ribosomal RNA is filed under the name Escherichia coli. RNAcentral's name for it is "23S ribosomal RNA". It matches the Rfam family "Bacterial large subunit ribosomal RNA". Lineage: Bacteria; Pseudomonadati; Pseudomonadota; Gammaproteobacteria; Enterobacterales; Enterobacteriaceae. The record is from RNAcentral.